Molecule: long non-coding RNA, 387 nt
Filed under: Homo sapiens (human)
Lineage: Eukaryota; Metazoa; Chordata; Mammalia; Primates; Hominidae
Description: non-protein coding lnc-ZNF608-5:1
Source: RNAcentral
UUUUUAUCACAAAGAUCAAGACAACAAUUGUGUGCCUACAAGAAAAGAACAACUAAAACCAUCCAACAAGCAUUAAAAGAACAAUUCUAGAGAUAGUUGCCUUUGAACUCCAAUAAUGGAGUUCAUCUAUGAAACAGAAGAAAUCUAAAUUUUGCCUUGGCUUCACCCCAAACUACAAAAAGUACUGUUUUACAAGAGCUUAUUCUGAAAUAUCACUUCCUGAACGUAGAAGUAUGCUAUUUGCACAGAUACAUUCCAUAGACAUACACAAUGUCCAGCUGAGAAAAUAAAGGAUAGUCCAUCUGGAUGUUUCUUUCUUUCUCCUAACUGUGACCUCAGCCUGCUCCAGAGAGGACACCAGCAUCUUUUGCUACUGAGGUAUCAAAC